RNAcentral lists this long non-coding RNA (425 nucleotides) under Erythranthe guttata (spotted monkey flower). RNAcentral describes it as "long non-coding RNA (EGUT_LNC003579)". Lineage: Eukaryota; Viridiplantae; Streptophyta; Magnoliopsida; Lamiales; Phrymaceae. The record is from RNAcentral.
GCUAGGUCAACUUCUAAACAUGUAUAUCAUUACCUGCAUCAUAAGAACCUAAUGAGCUAAUAGCUCAGCAAGUUGAAACUGAUGUAAUAGCAAUAUAUCACAUAACACGUUAUUCUCUCAACAUACACAAUAUCACAUAUAACUUCAUUCAUGAUCUUUUCUUUUGAAAUCCUUCUCUUUUUCGGGUACCCUUGAAGUGUGGUACUUGACUGAUAGCAAUAGGCUUUGGUUUUCGGAACCUGUUCAUCAUAUUUGGCCAAUAGAUAAUACGGGGUUUCCAUACCGGCCUUUCGACCUCAGGUAUUAGCCGUAUUUUAUUUCAUUAAUUGUGGGUUUUCCAUACUGGUCUUUCGACCUCAGGUAUUUGCCACCAUGUGUUGGGUCCGCCGGUCCCUCCCGCGUCCCUUGCCUACCCGACCAUCAAU